AGUGAACGCUGGCGGUAGGCCUAACACAUGCAAGUCGAACGGCAUCACAGUAAUAUCUUGCUCUUACGGGUUGCGAGUGUCGUUCUUUUUAUUAAUACAUCGUAAUCUACUUUUUCUUUUGUUAUAACGUAGGGAAACUUACGCUAAUACCGCAUACGACCUACGGGUGAAAGCAGGGGUUCUUCGGACCUUGCGCGUUUGAAUGAGCCGAUGUCGGAUUAGCUAGUUGGCGGGGUAAAGGCCCACCAAGGCAACGAUCCGUAGCUGGUCUGAGAGGAUGAUCAGCAAAAAUGGAAAUGAAACAAGGUCCAGACUCCUACGGGAGGCAGCAGUGGGGAAUAUUGGACAAUGGGCGCAAGCCUGAUCCAGCCAUACCGCGUGGGUGAAGAAGGCCUUCGGGUUGUAAAGCCCUUUUGUUGGGAAAGAAAAGCAGCAGGUUAAUACCCCGCUGUUCUGACGGUACCCAAAGAAUAAGCACCGGCUAACUUCGUG
This 492-nucleotide ribosomal RNA is filed under the name uncultured bacterium. RNAcentral's name for it is "partial 16S ribosomal RNA". It matches the Rfam family "Bacterial small subunit ribosomal RNA", at positions 29 to 507 of the family's 1533-position model. The record is from RNAcentral.